This 595-nucleotide long non-coding RNA is filed under the name Pan troglodytes (chimpanzee). Its description in RNAcentral is "long non-coding RNA NONPTRT001689". The record is from RNAcentral. Lineage: Eukaryota; Metazoa; Chordata; Mammalia; Primates; Hominidae.
GCCUCCCUCUUAGAGGUCCUCGGAGUCCAGAGUCCUCGAAGGGAAAACUGACACAAAGAAGCAGGUAAAUGAAGGAGAAAAGAAAAGAACAAAAUCCACCGGGAACCAGAGACUUCCAGGCUCCAAAGACAGGCAAUCUCCACCAGGAAACAAUUUGGCCAGGAAGUGACCGGCAAUGGAAAGAGGGAAAUAAUCAGCACAUCCGCAUGUGUGCCCAUCUCAGAGACACAAACUGUGAAUAACAACUCACUUGGCUUCAUAACCAAGACCUACUCUGAGGAAUUGCAUCUCUUCCUUGGAGACCUUGAUUGGCCUGCUAGGUUAAAGGCAUUUCACUAAAUUCUUGGAGGAGUCUGAGAGAACUUGGGGGCGCUUGAGGAACCCAAAGGUGUGAAGUAAAAGCUGGAAACCAAGAUUGCUGGGAAAGUUCAGAGAAAGUAGAGAUACUUCGUUUGAUGGAGAUCACAUGCAAGUACAGACAGGAUUUCCACAUGUCGCCAGGCUGAUCUCAGACCUGGAUCUUCCCACCUCAGCCUCUGAACGUGCUGGGAUUACAGGUAUGAGCCCCCACACAUGGCUACCUUGGGUUUCUUUU